CGUGUGUGUUUGUUUGUGUGUGUGUGUGUGUGUGGAGGGUGGGGGGGAAGAAAUAUGCCAGGAGCUUUUGCGGACUUCUCCUUCUCAAACAAACACACACACACAGACACACACAGACACACACACA
Molecule: microRNA precursor, 127 nt
Filed under: Drosophila guanche
Lineage: Eukaryota; Metazoa; Arthropoda; Insecta; Diptera; Drosophilidae
Source: RNAcentral